Molecule: transfer RNA, 131 nt
Filed under: Escherichia coli
Lineage: Bacteria; Pseudomonadati; Pseudomonadota; Gammaproteobacteria; Enterobacterales; Enterobacteriaceae
Rfam family: tRNA (bases 44-125)
About the family: Transfer RNA (tRNA) molecules are approximately 80 nucleotides in length. Their secondary structure includes four short double-helical elements and three loops (D, anti-codon, and T loops). Further hydrogen bonds mediate the characteristic L-shaped molecular structure. tRNAs have two regions of fundamental functional importance: the anti-codon, which is responsible for specific mRNA codon recognition, and the 3' end, to which the tRNAs corresponding amino acid is attached (by aminoacyl-tRNA synthetases). tRNAs cope with the degeneracy of the genetic code in two manners: having more than one tRNA (with a specific anti-codon) for a particular amino acid; and 'wobble' base-pairing, i.e. permitting non-standard base-pairing at the 3rd anti-codon position.
Source: RNAcentral
GCUUCCCGAUAAGGGAGCAGGCCAGUAAAAAGCAUUACCCCGUGGUGGGGUUCCCGAGCGGCCAAAGGGAGCAGACUCUAAAUCUGCCGUCAUCGACUUCGAAGGUUCGAAUCCUUCCCCCACCACCAUCA